GGGGGUAUAGCUCAGUGAUGUAGCACGCACUUAGCAUGCAUGAGGUCCUAGGUUCAAUCCCCAGCACCUCCA
Molecule: transfer RNA, 72 nt
Filed under: Camelus bactrianus (Bactrian camel)
Lineage: Eukaryota; Metazoa; Chordata; Mammalia; Artiodactyla; Camelidae
Also listed under: 2 other names
Rfam family: tRNA
About the family: Transfer RNA (tRNA) molecules are approximately 80 nucleotides in length. Their secondary structure includes four short double-helical elements and three loops (D, anti-codon, and T loops).
Source: Rfam by way of RNAcentral